This 253-nucleotide ribosomal RNA is filed under the name uncultured bacterium. RNAcentral describes it as "partial 16S ribosomal RNA". It matches the Rfam family "Bacterial small subunit ribosomal RNA", at positions 524 to 776 of the family's 1533-position model. The record is from RNAcentral.
UACGUAGGCAGCGAGCGUUGUUCGGAGUUACUGGGCGUAAAGAGUGCGUAGGCGGUUUUUUAAGUCUGGUGUGAAAUCUCCCGGCUCAACUGGGAGGGUGCGCCGGAAACUGGAAGACUGGAGUACCGGAGAGGUCAGCGGAAUUCCUGGUGUAGCGGUGAAAUGCGUAGAUAUCAGGAGGAACACCUGUGGUGUAGGCAGCUGGCUGGACGGUAACUGACGCUGAGGCACGAAAGCGUGGGGAGCAAACAGG